Impatiens glandulifera is the source of this 446-nucleotide long non-coding RNA. RefSeq lists it as uncharacterized. The record is from RefSeq and is a predicted model, not a curated record. The transcript has 2 exons. Lineage: Eukaryota; Viridiplantae; Streptophyta; Magnoliopsida; Ericales; Balsaminaceae.
UUUGUACUGAACCAAUUUUGAUUUCUCACCAUCUUCUUCUUUUCGUUAUGCAAAGAUUCAAAUACUACGUAAGCGUAACUUCUUCGAAGUUUACGUCUAUGAUGGUUUAUAUAAGAACUUCCAGCUUUGGUGGACGAGUAACUGCUAGGGAAAGCAGAACUCAGGACAAAUAAAGUGGGCAUCGUCUCCACCAGUACUGAUUACAAGUGCAUAGGAAUGGAUGAUACCCACGAAGGGCUGGAUGGCAGACAAAGGAUGAGAAGUGGAUAGGCAUGGGAAAUCCGGAGCUUCUGCAACUCGAAAGCUAAACAUGCUUAUGGACCUCAAGGCAGUAAAGAUUUUUGUUUUUCAAAUAAUGUACGGUUAAAUUAAGAUGAAAUAAAAUUUUAGUGAGAAAUUGUGUAAUAUUGAUCAAUGUAAUUGUCACCCUAAUGAAUAAAAUUAAA